UUCCACCUAUUUGAACCAUCAAUUAAUCUUUUCUCGUCAGUGAAAAUAACAUUUCUCCAGCUUUCAAUUUAUUUUAAAUGCUUUGCGGCAAAUCCCAGCCUUUGCUUCCUACGGAUACCUAUUAAUUGGAAAAACGAAUAGUAUGAAGUAUAUUGACUUGAUCAACCAAUAAAUACAAGCACAUACAGUACGUAUUGCGGAGAAAAAUGCUUAUUCCAACAAAAUAAUGCCGCUGUCACACCGCACAGUCGGGGGACAAGUACUUUGUUGAGAGAAAGAUCUAAGUUUUAGAAUGGCCAGCAAGGUCAUCCGACCUAAAUAUGAUAGAAAAUUGUCGGGGUAAGCCAGUAAGAGCAGUUUAUAAAAAUAUACAAUUUAAAUAAAAAAAAUUCAAUUUCAAAAGCUAUUCAAAUCGUCAUCAAAAAGAAUGACAGCAGUUAUAAAAAAUAAGGGAAGUUAUACGAAAUAUUAACAUGACAAUAUCUUUAGUGAAUCUGAGUAAAUUUUCCUUUUUCUGCAGCAUGUGCUAUCAUUUUGUCCGACUGUAUUCUUGUCAUAUUUCUAAUUUUGUAGGAAAAAUAUUAAUUUUCACUUCAGAACUAUAUAGUGGUAUUAAUAUUAGGUCGUCUGAAAAGCUUCUUUCGUUUUAUAAGGAAAUAAUGGAUGCACAACAUUUUCCGUUUUAUAUUAUUUUAUCGAAUUACGUAUGAUCAAUUUUGUUCUAUCAAAAUAAAGAUCACAACGUUCGACAGAUUAGGUUUCAUGUUUGUAUAAAGAUGCAUCAUUGUAAAAGACGGGUCUGUAAAAGAAUGACACAUAUAUAUUCGGACAACCUAAUAAAAACUAGCUUUUAAGUUAAUAAAAUAUAUCUUUGUAUCUCUGCUUGUUAUUCAAUAAAAUUUUCCGAAUUUGUGCUAUAUGCUAUUUGUUUGUCCGGUAGUGUACUUAGUAGCUUUCUGUUAUACAAUAGGUAAAUAUCGUAGAUGUUUGGCAUGUCAUAUUUCUAGUCGCGUGCAAUGCAACACAUGGGUUAAAUCGACACUUAGAUACGACGUCAGUUUACAUAAUGCGAGAUAACGCGAUGCAUGCUUGUAGAAGUGGUUUUUCGAUAGAACAAAAAUAUUUUCGCUCGUCCAGGGAGACGUUACGGUUGACGUGCAAGUGUAAGACAGCGAGUAGGAACAAGAACGGUGACAUGUGAUACAUCACGGGGAUCCUGAUAAACUGUGUCGUACCACCAUAAACGAGUUAUGUGAGAAAUAUACGAGGUUGGUAAUCGGAAAUCUCGACGAUUUCCAGCAGAGCAUAUCUCGUAAAAGCGUCACAUGGGGCGCAGAUAUAUUUCGAUGUGCCUUUCACAAUUCUAACAGGUAUAAAGGCUUGCUCAACGAACAAUCGAUAUUGAUGCUAGCAGAAUUUACCUAAAAAUAAAACCUUGAAUUAAUAUAAUAAGAGAAUAAGAGUUUCGUAAGCAGUGAAGACGAGACUUAAGAUCAAAUAGUUAUAAUGUACGUUUAGGAAACCUUGAUGGAAUCUACAGCCUGUGUGUCGACGCAGUUCCAAAUUGUCUUUUAUCCAUCAACGGUGUCAUUAUUUGUCCAAUUUCUAAUAAUAAAUUUGUGGA
Bombus pyrosoma is the source of this 1624-nucleotide long non-coding RNA. RefSeq lists it as uncharacterized. NCBI's taxonomy places the organism in Eukaryota, Metazoa, Arthropoda, Insecta, Hymenoptera, Apidae. The transcript is spliced from 3 exons. The record is from RefSeq and is a predicted model, not a curated record.